GAGAGAUGCCCAGGAUCCAUUGUGAUUGACUAAUUACAGAGUUUCGCCAAACAUGUCACGGGGGGGGGGGGGAUCGGAAUCAAAGACGAUACAGAGAGGUGGAGGAGAGAGAGAAGAGAGAGGUGAGAGAAAGAGGAGCUCCUUCCUAGUGGAACUUGAGGCUGGUGAGGACGUUGUUGUUGACGGGGUCGGCAAGGUGGUCGAGCAGGUUCUGGAAGGGGCCCUCCCCGGUGACGAGGGCCUGGAUGAAGUACCCCAAGAUGGCGAGCAU
This 271-nucleotide long non-coding RNA is filed under the name Spirodela polyrhiza (greater duckweed). RNAcentral describes it as "long non-coding RNA (SPOL_LNC000461)". Lineage: Eukaryota; Viridiplantae; Streptophyta; Magnoliopsida; Alismatales; Araceae. The record is from RNAcentral.